UACGUAGGGCGCAAGCGUUGUCCGGAAUUAUUGGGCGUAAAGAGCUCGUAGGCGGUUUGUCGCGUCUGCUGUGAAAACCUAAGGCUCAACCUUGGGCUUGCAUUGGGUACGGGCAGACUAGAGUGCGGUAGGGGUGACUGGAAUUCCUGGUGUAGCGGUGGAAUGCGCAGAUAUCAGGAGGAACACCGGUGGCGAAGGCGGGUCUCUGGGCCGUAACUGACGCUGAGGAGCGAAAGCGUGGGGAGCGAACAGG
RNAcentral lists this ribosomal RNA (253 nucleotides) under uncultured bacterium. RNAcentral describes it as "partial 16S ribosomal RNA". It matches the Rfam family "Bacterial small subunit ribosomal RNA", at positions 524 to 776 of the family's 1533-position model. The record is from RNAcentral.